UGAUUAACAUAAAUAUUAAGCGUGUCUGGACAGAAACAUCACAACUAUAUGUCUUAAACCAUUUUCUUGAAAGCAGUAAUUUAACUUUGAAAUCUCAUAAAAAUGAAGCCUGUAGUACUAGUUCUUCUGGUAUGUCUCGCGAGUCUCGUAGCUGUUUCAGAAGGUUGUUGUAGAACGUGGAAUGGCGCAUGCGAUCAUGAUAGCGAUUGCUGCAAAGAUUAUACUUGCGAAAUCGAUGAAAAACGACAACACGCAUUAUUAUGCAAGCCAGUACCGGGAACAAAAAAGAAAUGAAUUAAAAGAAUACAUAUCCAGUUUAAAAAGGCAGAUCCAGUACAAAAUAAAAAUGUGUAACAGACA
Long non-coding RNA from Physella acuta, 360 nucleotides. RefSeq lists it as uncharacterized. Lineage: Eukaryota; Metazoa; Mollusca; Gastropoda; Physidae. The record is from RefSeq and is a predicted model, not a curated record.